This 301-nucleotide unclassified non-coding RNA is filed under the name uncultured fungus. RNAcentral describes it as "sequence contains ITS1". The stretch from base 1 to 105 matches the Rfam family "5.8S ribosomal RNA", at positions 50 to 154 of the family's 154-position model. The record is from RNAcentral. Lineage: Eukaryota; Fungi.
AAAAUGCGAUAAGUAGUGUAAAUUGCAGAAUUCAGUAAAUCAUCAAAUCUUUGAACGCACAUUGCGCCCUUUGGUAUUCCUUAGGGCAUGCCUAUUCGAGCGUCAUCUAAACCUUUAAGCACUGCUUAGUGUUGGGUGCCUAUCCCGCCCCCGCGCGUAGACUCACCUCAAAUCUAUUGGCAGCCCUCACGUCGGCUUCGAGCGCAGCAGAAACGCGAACUCAACGCCCGUCAGAGCAGCUCCUAGAAGCUACAUUCACUAUUUUAACCUCAGAUUAGGUAGGGAUACCCGCUGAACUUAA